This is a long non-coding RNA of Mugil cephalus (flathead mullet), 5031 nucleotides long. RefSeq lists it as uncharacterized. The transcript is spliced from 3 exons. The record is from RefSeq and is a predicted model, not a curated record. Lineage: Eukaryota; Metazoa; Chordata; Actinopteri; Mugiliformes; Mugilidae.
ACUCCCUCCGCCACAGACAAGACAAGAGCAGAGGCAGGCAAACACGCUGGGUAGGUGUGGGGGGGAGAGAGAAACGAGAAGCAGGGCUGGCCCCUCCUCGCUGCUGUAAAAGCAGGAGGGGGGAGGAAAAAAAAAAGAGGAGGAAGAAAAAAAAAGGGAGGAAGAAAGGAAAUCGCAGCCAUACGGGCUGUGCUCCCCCAGCUAAACUGUAUCUUCAGUUUAAGAGUGGGAGAAAAGACGGUACAUGGCGAUGAGCUCCUCCUGCCAGCCUCAUCUGUCAGCCAUUACUUAAUCAGGGCAGAGCAUAGAGAGCUGGCACAGCGCGUGGGACAAGAGGACAGCUUCACCUCUGAGAGCGAGACGAGGGCAACGACUCAGGGACCCCUGCUUCACCGAUCUACAGCUGGGUCGUUUCACUCACCAGCACCCACUCAGGAACCGGGGAACCCAAAGAUGACUCCACCCACUGCUCUCAGCAGGAAGGUUUCAGAGAACAGAAGUCACAACAACACAUGUUAUCAACACGGGAGCAGCCGGUAAGAGUGGCGUCAUGGGGCAGAGGAAUGUCAAGAGUCAUAGAUCUUUUGUCCUGCAGGCCGAAAUAUCCACCCAGCCUUAAACCAUCAGGAACACUGGGGCAACCCAACAUUUAAAUAUCCAGCUCUCUCUAUAGUGAAUCUCACAAGACGCACAGAAAUAGGGAAAUGAUGUGAUAAAUUAAACUUUAAACAUACUCAAAUACUGAUGGAUUUCAGAUGUGCCAGGUUCAUUUUGUUCAUAUUAUUCCUCCCAGGAUGCAGCUGAUUGUAUGAUGUGGAAAUAAUUUCCUGCCCCUGUCUGCAGGAUUUGAUAGAUUGUCAGCUAGAGCUGCAGCGAACGUCUGAUUGGCUAAAACUAAACAGCACCGUCUGCACUCCACCCCUAAGUAAGAGUUUGCCAUCUUUAAAAGAGUUAAAUAAACAGCUGGUUGAGCAGGCAUAUACAAUGUCUCCAACGCAGUUUCCUUUCUGAGUCAACACCACUCAGAAAAGCCACAACAAGCAACCAUAAGUAAAAAUGAAAUGACAAAGCAGGCCGAGCGUUCCCGUCUGUCUAAACAGUCCACUGAGAUGUUUUUCCACAACUAUGCUGCACUCAAACAUCCUCCAAACGAGACUAAAUGUUGGAGAAAAUGAAGGACAGGCGCAGAAAAGGCAGAAAAAAAAGUAAAUUCUUGAUGACAGAAGUUGAAAAAUACAAACAGCAGGCCAGUUGAGAAGUUAUAAAGUAAAGGACCUUUGACACAGGGGCAUUAACGUCUUACUCGCUCUUCCUGCUAAAUGUUGCACAGCUGCUUUUCUAAUCUGUCAUACCAACCAGCCUGCCACGGCUUGCACACAGAGGGAAGUGUGGAAAAGCUCAGAGAAGUGGAAGAUCAUGACCUCGCAUUGGUGUUUACGUGGAAACAAACACAAGUAAUGGAUGUAAGGGAAUGAGGAGAUAAGGGCAUUGAACUUUUUUUUGUUAUUUGUGUGCAGAUUGCUAUGUUUAUCAUCCCCUUUAUACUUUCUCCAUGCAAACUGCUUCUUCCACAGUGUCUGUUUGUGGCUCUGCUAUCCAUGUGCCCGGUCUCAGCCAAGUCUAUGGAUGCAUCCAAAUCUUGACAAAGGAAAACGCCUCCAUCAGAAAAACCCACAAAAAAAGAUGGAGGUACUGGUAACAUCCCCAAGGCACAAAUUCAUGCAGGGGUCAGUGGAUAAAAUACAACACUUUCUUAAUAGCAUUUUGUUCAUUUCACCAACUGCAAUAAAAAGCUUUUGCACACUUUUUAAUAGCCCUUGUAGCAAUGUCCAAACUAAUCCAACUGAAGCUUUGAUUCGACUUAAAACUACAAAACAUCUCAGGGUCUGAAGAAAUAACUUGCAUCAGGCACUGUUUGACAAACUGGAAUUUUCUCACAUGUGGCCCUGCUGAUGUACAAUGACCGAGUGAAAAAGACCCGGCAGGUAGCUGAGUCACAUGGAGAGGACAGCACAUGCAUUUAAAACGAAAUACACUGGCAUCCUGAGAAGUUAAAACAUCAAGCAUCAGCCUCAUAAGUCAGCCAGGAUAGAGAUAAAUGACUUUCAAUCCCCUGUUGGUGUAAGUAAGCUAAAACACCCAAUCUGUCACUGCCUCUGCUGCAAGAGGGGGAAAAACUGCCACGAACUCCAUUUCACUCCAUCAACUUGAUAGCAUCAACAGGCCCGAACAGGACCAGGCUCCAUCAAGUCUGAAGUGGCAGCCUCGUGCAAGAGGGCUGCGAGUCUAAGCGGAGUCAAAGAAGCGACUCCUAGAGGCUCAGAAGCCCUUUACAGGGAUAUCCUCAAGAGUUGAGGAAAAGCAGACGCUCUACCUGUGUCAAAGUGAGGCUAUGUUCUCUGUCAUUCGAUUGGGCCUGUGCUACACCAACCUAAAUGCUUCCAGACUUUCAUGCCUUGUCUCCUCUUAUUUCGUUUCACUGCGUCUGCUCCCGACUCAGAUCACCCACAAAACAACACCCCUGCCCAACAUCUACUAAAUGAGUUACUCCCUAAAUUUCUUUCACUUCCAUGCACACAUCUUAUUCCUUCAGGAGUGGCUUCCCUCCAACAGGGCGAGCUUUAACAACAUCUGUUCACUGCUCCGUAAACCAUAAUAAAUAGAAAGCAUUUUUUAAGUGUUUUGCAAUGAAAAUUCAAAUGUUUUAUUUAUGUUUUCCAACUUUCUGCAAUGUCAUCCAACAAUUUGACCUAAAAGAGGUUUUCAUUCCUGAUGUAAGCCAUGGUGGGUUCCAAAUAUUCUGAAUCUUCAGACAACAUCUCUCAACAUCUGGUUUUCAGCGUCCAAAGUCUAAAUGGUUUGCCAAAAUCUGUAGGCCAUAGUGCAUGACUUCUAACCAGAAGACCAUCAACUGAACUGUUUUGCUUUCUCUCAAAGGCCAGCAUGAAACACUAUCUACCAACUCAGAUUUAAAUUAAAGCCACGACAAGAGCCAUGCUCUUGAGGGGACCUUUCAGCCGCCUCUUCAACUGCUAACACUCGACAUGGCUUAUGGGCAGGAUCAGGAAACACAAGCCCAAUGAUGUCACAGCCAACUGACCCCAGGGUGACAGGUUUGGAGAACGUUCCUGCCCGGUGCCUUUGGGCCAAAGUCAAGUAUGUGAGUGUUGUGCAUGUGGAUUUAAUUUGAACCAGCAUGAUUAGUUUGCAGACGCUCUACUACGAACCCGAAGGAAAUGGUGUGUUUUUCUUAGCAACAAACAGGCAUAAAUUACUAAAACCAUACCUCGGUUGGUAAUUUAUCAAACACAGUCGCAUUGUCGGACCAUGCACACGGCUGGUAUAGACAUCGCCUUUAAGGUAAUUACCAUUAGUUAAUGAUAUUUACCUUCCGGAUAGUUUGUCCUGAACUCUGUGUCCUUAAAUUGUGCAAUAAAUGUGAUAAUUGUUUUGUGUCUUUUCUUUUUAAAAAAACAAAAAACAAACAAAUGUGUUUUGAUGACAUGUAUAAGGAAGGGGAAUAUAACGUUGACAUUGACAUUCAUCAGAGGUUACAAAAACUUCAUGUAGGGCUAACAAGAAACAAGAUAUUAGGAACAUACUGAAGAAAAGGUUGAAUUAGUAAAUGUGUUAAACUGUCCACAUGAAAAUAAAAGCUUACGUAUCAGAGGGCCCAUUUGUGAAUGCUUUCAAGAUGGUACAGCAUAUGGUGUGACGCUCACUAUUAAAAUGUCCACUAGAGAGUAGUAAGUAUGUGUCCAAACCCUUAAAUAUGACAAAUAUGUUAUUUUAAAGAAAGGGUUUGAGUAAUCAAUCAGUAAUUACAAUUUACGCUAUAUGAAACAAUAUACAAUAGAACGGUGUUUUUGGGAGACAACAAAUAUGUGGGGUAUAUUUCCAUAAUAAUUUAUCAGAUGGAUAUUAUGAAGUAACUAUGAUGAGGAUUUUGUUAAUUCAUGAGCAACCCCUGCAAACUAACAGGACAUAUACUGAGGGUGCAAAGGAAUAACAGAAAAAGAAAACUGUUUGUGAAUUCUGCAAAUGGAAGAGAUAAGGUAAGACACACUUUGAAGCAAUGGGAAAUAUUUUGACAUGUUACAUAAUCCAAAAGCUCCCGAGACCAUUAGGUGCGUCUCUGACCUCUGAAAGACCAUCAGCUCUUGAACAUUUGCACUUUCACCAUGGCAACAGUUACAGUGUGGGAUUACGAAGUGAAUGAAAAUAAAAAAAUAAAAAAUUAAAAUAAAAUGCUGUCAUGGUAUCAUAUCAUAAGUUUAAUAAUGCUGAUAUAAAAUAACAUUGUAACUUGUAGACAUACAAUUGUGCUUUUGUAGAAUCUAUUAUUAUAGUCUAUUCUGUAUAGUUUCAAGCUUAUACCUUGAAAAUACUGUUUGAUAUUCCUCCUUAGGGUUAGGGUUGGUAUAAUAAGUCCAUGUAUUCUAUAAAUGCUGUCUUUUUUAACUCUUGCUUUUGGAUCUUCUCAACUAAACAACCCUUGCCAGUGUGAAUUUAUACAAAUUACUGCUGUGGUAAAAGCAAUACUCUGUCGGUCUCCUGCCAAAUGCAUUACGGCGAGCUCCAUUAACACAAUGGUAAACAGAUGUGCCACCCAGCGCCAAAGUUUGAUUUGGACAGUGCAUGUGUUUCUCCGGGGAGAUUACAAAAGAAAAUGUUAAAACACAUAAAAGGGAAAAAGGCCUGCAGCGUUUUUUACACUGCAUUAUGCCAAGGUAUGUGAAGCACUGUACAUACUAUAGAGGCCGAUUCUGGAAUGUGUCCCCGAAGACUGAAUUAUCGUUAGGGUUACUGAAAAAGACUGGCUAAGUCAAUUGAGGGUCAAAUGCCAAAAUACCCCCUAAUGACCUGCAAAUCAAGUCUUUUCUAUGAGGUGUUUACAGUGCCUCACCUACAUACUUGUGCUGUAUGUGUAUUGCUUGCACAUGUUUUGACCUAGCACAUUAUUGUGCUGCAAAGGGGCUAAAUAAAAGCUGUUAUCCUGUUUAAGCAAUAAACUUUAAAUAUCAAUUUUAA